GCGCCCCUAGCUCAGUUGGUAGAGCGGUGGAACGGUGAUCUACAGUCCCGGGUUGAAGUCCCGGCGGUCGCU
Molecule: non-coding RNA, 72 nt
Organism: Phthorimaea operculella (potato tuberworm)
Lineage: Eukaryota; Metazoa; Arthropoda; Insecta; Lepidoptera; Gelechiidae
Source: the annotation of a GenBank genome assembly